GCAGUAAUAUGAGUUGGUAUUUACAAUACGACAUAUAGAUAUAGUUGUCUUAUAUCGAGGAACACAACUUUAUAGUCUUUCGACGUAGUGUAUGGUAUUUCGUAAUUACCCUCUCAGAAUAAAGAUUAUAAAGUCUUCUUUAUGCCAUCUCGUAAAAAUUGCGUGAAAAAAUUCCCACGUAAAAAUUACAGCGCGCAUCAUAAUCUUCUAAAACGCUCUAUCUAGAGGUCCAGUAAUACCAAAGUGGCUUCCAUU
Molecule: non-coding RNA, 255 nt
Organism: Paramuricea clavata
Lineage: Eukaryota; Metazoa; Cnidaria; Anthozoa; Malacalcyonacea; Plexauridae
Source: the annotation of a GenBank genome assembly